RNAcentral lists this long non-coding RNA (391 nucleotides) under Paramuricea clavata. Lineage: Eukaryota; Metazoa; Cnidaria; Anthozoa; Malacalcyonacea; Plexauridae. The record is from RNAcentral.
GGUAAUACAGCAAUUUUCGUCCAAGCACAAACCGCAAACAUUUUCGCGCGUUUGUUUACGUUUGAAACGUGGCGUUUACCGUUGGAAACGGAAUGUUUCACUGCUCAUGUGACGUGUUAUAGUGAAAAGCCUAAUUCAGUUAUUUUUCAUGUUUUGAUGUGCUUUCGUGUACUUUUCAGUAUUUCCAAGCUCACGAUAUUGUAAGAGCGACCAAAUUUGUUUAUAUUCAUACUUUUUGUGACUAAAACGUAUUAUCAUGGGCUUGGAAAUAUUGAAACGUGCACGGAAGCACAUCAAAACAUGACAGUUGCGCCAAAAAUAGCUUAAGGCUUUUCAAUGUGACACGUCACAUGAGCGGUGAAACAUUUCAGUUUCCAACGGUAAACGCCCC